AGAGUCCCGCCCGGGUAAUCGUGAGCCGCGAGCCCGGUAUCAAGCCUUACGGCGCGAAGGGUAACUGACGCGUCGGUGCGUAGGCAUGAAAACAGGCGAGGUGCAAAGGUAGCGGGUGAAGCCGCCCCUGAAGGUGUUAGAAAA
Molecule: non-coding RNA, 144 nt
Organism: Thiorhodovibrio sp.
Lineage: Bacteria; Pseudomonadati; Pseudomonadota; Gammaproteobacteria; Chromatiales; Chromatiaceae
Source: Rfam